Long non-coding RNA from Microcebus murinus (gray mouse lemur), 1563 nucleotides. RefSeq lists it as uncharacterized. NCBI's taxonomy places the organism in Eukaryota, Metazoa, Chordata, Mammalia, Primates, Cheirogaleidae. The record is from RefSeq and is a predicted model, not a curated record.
CGGUGAGGGCGCGCGGCCCGGGAGGCUGCGCCGCCUGCCAGGCGAGGCCAGACGCGGCUUCAUCACUCUGCGCAGAACAGAGCACAGUAAAACUUGCGGACUGUUUAUUUCUGGAGUUUUCCAUUUAAUAUUUUUGGACCUCAGUUGGCGGCGUGACCGAAGCGGCGGGACGCGAAGCCCUGGGCGGGGCUGCUGUGCGGGACGUCCGCGGCAGCGCCGCCCGCAGCAGCCGGAGGAGACGCAGCCCGCGCGGCAGGUGCGCGGACGGACGGCUGCGGCGUGCACACGACGGGGUAGGGCUCCACCGUGGGAAGGACCGAGUGCUGGUCUGUGCGACAGCACGAAGGAAUCCUGAAAAUAUCACGCUAAGUAAAAAAAGGAAGACACAAAAAGAUCACAUGCUGGUGACUUCACUCGUAGGAGACGUUCAGAACAGGUACCUGAAGCCCUGGAAAGGAAAGCCGCAGAUGAGAGGGACUGCUGUGUGACAAUGAGGACAGUCUAGUGUUACUGCAAAGAUAUGCUAGCAGGCCAAUGUAAGAGUACUGUGUCCAGAAACAGCCCAAACGUAUAUAAACAAUUAAGACAAAAAGUGACACUACAGUUCAGUGGGGGAAAAAUUAGUCUUUUUCAAUAAAUGGUGAUGGGGCAACUAAAUAAUCAUGUAGAAAAAAAUGAAUCUUGAUUCCUAUCUCAUACCAUAGACAAAAAUCAAAUCCAGAUAGACUGUAGAUCUAAAUUGGAAAGAAAAACAAUAACCUCUUAUAGGAAAAUAUAUUUGUGACCUUGUUUUAGACAAAAUUUCUUAAACAUGACAGAAAGAAGCACCAAUCAUAAAAAAAUAGCUAAAUUGGACUACAUUAAGUUUAAGGAACUGUUUAUCAAACUACACCAUUAAGACAGUAAAAAGACAAACUAUGGAAUGGGAAAAGAUUUUUGCAAUAAGUAUAAAUGACAAAGGUCUAAUAUCCAAAACAUAGAGAUCUACAAAUUUGUAAGAAAAAGAUUAACAACUCAACAUAAAAGUACAAAAGAUUAGAACACAAACAAGAAUAUUCAAAUGGCCAGAAAACUUGUUUUAAAAAGUGCUAAUCCUCAUUAAUCACCAGGGAAACACAAAUUAAAGCUACAACGAGAUACCCACCUACCAGUAUGCUCAAAACUGACAGGACAUGACACAUGUUGGCAAAUAUUUGGUGGAACUGAAACUGUCAAACACCAUUAGUAGGAAUGCAAAUUGGUACAACUUGGGGAAAUUGUUUGGCACUAUCUAUUAAAGCCAAAUAUAAGUAAACUCUAUAAACAGAUAGGCAUAAACCCAAUGAAAGGGGCACAUAUGCACACAAAGUCAUGUGUGAGAAUAUUUAUAGUGGCAUUGUUUUUAAUAGGCAAAAGCUGGAAACAAUCUAAAUAUUCAUAAACAGGGAUAAACAACAUGAGUAUAUUCACACAAUGGAAUAAUAUGCAGAAAAGAAUGACUAGUACACCUAGAUGAACCUCAUAAUGUUGAGCGAAAGAAACUAAACAUAUUGAUGCAACAUCUGAGCCAAAAAAAAAAAAAAA